RNAcentral lists this ribosomal RNA (320 nucleotides) under uncultured Prevotella sp. Its description in RNAcentral is "bacterial SSU rRNA". It matches the Rfam family "Bacterial small subunit ribosomal RNA", at positions 28 to 339 of the family's 1533-position model. The record is from RNAcentral. Lineage: Bacteria; Pseudomonadati; Bacteroidota; Bacteroidia; Bacteroidales; Prevotellaceae.
GAUGAACGCUAGCUACAGGCUUAACACAUGCAAGUCGAGGGGCAUCGAGAGGUUAGCUUGCUAACCUUGUCGGCGACCGGCGCACGGGUGAGUAACGCGUAUCCAACCUUCCCCUUAGUAGGGCAUAGCCCGAUGAAAAUCGGAUUAAGACCCUAUGUUCUUCGUAGAUGGCAUCUGAAAUGAAGCAAAGGUUUACCGCUAAGGGAUGGGGAUGCGUCCGAUUAGGUAGUCGGCGGGGCAACGGCCCACCGAGCCAUCGAUCGGUAGGGGUUCUGAGAGGAAGGUCCCCCACAUUGGAACUGAGACACGGUCCAAACUCC